Molecule: long non-coding RNA, 1315 nt
Organism: Anolis carolinensis (green anole)
Lineage: Eukaryota; Metazoa; Chordata; Lepidosauria; Squamata; Anolidae
Exons: 2
Source: RefSeq, a predicted model, not a curated record
UCCUACUUCUGGGCACAUUGUAGAACUUGUUUUCUGCUUGGGGUGGGCUGAUGAUGAUUGUGAUGUGGAGGAACUCUCUACAGUUCUGUUGCCAUGGACUGAUCAUUACCUGAUCAGGUUUAGACUCACUGGGACUCCAAACAUCCACAGCAGCCGAGAAUUGAUUAAGAUGGUCCAACCCAGAAGGCUGAUUGAUCCGGAUGGGUUUCUGAUAGCUCUUAGGGAUUUUCCUGUCACUUCAGAAGGCGAUUCUGUAGAAGCUGUGGCUGGCGACUGGAAUGAGGAAAUGAUUGAGAUGGUGGAACAUCAUCGCCUCUGAGUGUCCCUUCUUAUAGCCUCCUGGGCUUCCAGGGAUAGAGGCUGUACCAACAGUGGAAUAAUUUGGUUGGAUUCAAUCAUAGCGGUGGUGGAGGUAGUGUUUUAAUAGCAUUUGCAUUUCACAUUCUCUAACUAUGGACCUUAUCCCAUGGAUUGAGGACUCCGUUUCCAUGUGCUUUGUAAAUGAACUUCCAUGGAGGCCAUCACAUGACAUAAGAGCAUUUCCAGUGGGACUCAGUUUCUGCAGCGCAACAGGACCCAGAGGAAAACAAGGGAAAGAUGGUUGGCCAUCCCAGAAGACGGACCUUGAUGGGACAGAACGGAGUAAGAUGGCUUCCCCCCCUGCUCCCCUGUUUCAGGAUGAGGUCCUGUGUCAACCAGUGGAAAAUUUUGUGUAAGGCAAACAUGCAUAUUUUUUGAGGAUAAUGUUAUUCCUAAGGUUAUUUUCCUUUUUGCAAACAUCAGAGAAAUGGCAUUUUGCCAAUAAAUAAAUCUGCCAACUAGAUUUUCUGUCCUAAGGGCCGUCCUACUAGAAAAACUUCCAGAAAAUGCUUCCUCUCCUUUGUUUCUCUACACAAAUGGGCGUGCUUACUGAGAUUCUCUACUUUCAGUUCUAGAAAUCUAAGGGAAGACAUUUGGGGCCACUUCAAAUUGUCUGGUAAUUGCUUGAGAACAAACUCGCAUACAGAAACUAACAUGGAAUGAAUUCUCUAUAACCCAGACCCUUCCAUAUCCAGUGACAUGUAAUUACUUAAGAAGGGCAGUGUAGGAUUGUUAAAAUAAUGACUCCCCUCCCCACUUUUUCAGAACUCUGAACAAUGAUGAUGCUAAAGCAGUUAUUAGCAAACAUUCCUAGGCCUUUUCCUAUAAUUGCUUAUGAAGUGCUAGGAACAGUAGUACAAGAUGUGAUUAUGUAUUUUUAAGUAUUGAAGAGUGCAUCCUUCCUGUAAUAAAGCCGUAUCUGUCCUCUGAACAAAUAAAAUGUGUUGAACUGUAA